UUUUCGGGUGAGAGUGGUCCU
RNAcentral lists this microRNA (21 nucleotides) under Physcomitrium patens. Its description in RNAcentral is "ppt-miR1041". Lineage: Eukaryota; Viridiplantae; Streptophyta; Bryopsida; Funariales; Funariaceae. The record is from miRBase by way of RNAcentral.